Molecule: long non-coding RNA, 967 nt
Organism: Ctenopharyngodon idella (grass carp)
Lineage: Eukaryota; Metazoa; Chordata; Actinopteri; Cypriniformes; Xenocyprididae
Exons: 3
Source: RefSeq, a predicted model, not a curated record
AUUGCGUCAGGAAGAUUUACCACAAUACAGUUUCAGACAGAAAACUGCUCAGCUUUUCUCCCAUUUUUAAUCACCUUAUGUCUUUUAUAGCUACAAAUGAUCAUGUAGCGUCAGGAUAUUUUGAUAGUGUUAGCAAAUAAGCACUGCUAGUCUGCUACCACAAACAGGUUAAGGAUUUUGACUGCAGUUACACUAGAUGAACACACGGGGGAGUCCGCGCUCCAUUCUUCGCCUGGAAUGCUGAUGCAGCGUGACUACACUCACUACAGAUGGCCGUUUCCUGGUUGUUUAUGGAACAUGGGGGCAGGGAUGGAGCAUGUUUCAACAUCUCCUCGAAUGCCACGACAACAGAUAAAAGAGGACCAGGAUGAAGACAUUGAAUGAAAACGUGAGUCAGCACAACACUGGAAGAUGAAAGGAAAGAUGAACACGGAGACACCUGUAAACUAAACGUUUCUGUCUGCGAAUUAAUAAUUCGAAGAGCCACGCCAGGUUUCACUCAGCCUAAGGUUAGAUCAACAGUGUCUUGCAAAAUAAUAUCAGCAAAACUGGGACGAACGGAAAGAGAAGGAGAAAAAUGAAAUGUGUACGGCAGGGUGAUAUGUUUAUGACGUGAGGAGGAACAGGAAAAGACGUUCUGAAGGUCCAUGUUUGGUUUGAGCAGCAUGAUAAAUUAUACACACAUGUAGAGUAUGAACCGUGUUCAACAGCUGUUAUCAUUACAUCAGAUAAAACGGAGGCAGUGUCUGGAAAACAUCACAUCUCUGUGUACUUGAUGGCACAAACACACUUACUUAAAUGCAGAUUGAACAUAUGCUUCUAUUUUUUUUAUACAAAGCAAAUGAUCAUUUCUUCAGACUUUUUGCACUUUUAGAAUAAAAAUAAAAAUUGAUUUAUGAAUCAGACACCUCUGAUUGUCACCAAAGAAAACUUUUGUCCCCAAACUAUAGCUAAGCAAACCGACUAC